Molecule: long non-coding RNA, 670 nt
Filed under: Zonotrichia albicollis (white-throated sparrow)
Lineage: Eukaryota; Metazoa; Chordata; Aves; Passeriformes; Passerellidae
Description: lncRNA (ENSZALG00000001001.1)
Source: RNAcentral
CUCUGAUCCUAUUUUAGUGAAUCUGCUUUUACGAUUAAACCAUCACUGUAAUUGGCACUGGAAGAGCAUUGGCAGUCUGCUGUGGUCGCCUUCCCUGCAAAGAACGUUUGUGAUGCUCAUCUCUGAAUGAUGCAUAGUGUCUGCCUGUAUUCAGAUUUAAAAAGAAUUUAAAAAAAGAAUGCAUGAACAGCAGGUAGACUGGUCAGCAGUGAUUCAGUCCCUGGCAGCCAUGAUGAGAGCACCACAAGCUCAACUCAGCCCUGCUGGAGGUGGAUAUUUCUCCAUUUCCUUUCAUGGCAUUGCACCUACGUUACACCAGCGAGAACGAACCCUUCCACAGCAAUACCAACCUCGGGGGUCCCCAAGCACUUCUGCACCUGCCUCGGAAGGACAGACAGACUCUCCCAGCUGCCCACAGGUGGAAGCAGGCUGCGAGCCCUCCAUGCUGACAUGUAGCAAGCCACCCAUAUGGAAUUUCAGCAAGUGGCAACCACGCUCAGCCUGAGUGCCUCAGAUCAGCCCAAAACAAGCCUCAGGUCAGCAGCUUCAGGACUCAGUUUUUUGCGCGGGGUCAUUUUGUUCCUUGUACUCCUUCCCACUCCCUCUUGGCUGUAUUGCAUUGCCUAUCAUGUUAAAUAAAUUAAAAAAAAAAAAAGUGGGGAGGAAUUCC